This 689-nucleotide ribosomal RNA is filed under the name Hemiculterella macrolepis. Its description in RNAcentral is "partial 12S ribosomal RNA". It matches the Rfam family "Bacterial small subunit ribosomal RNA", at positions 512 to 1495 of the family's 1533-position model. The record is from RNAcentral. Lineage: Eukaryota; Metazoa; Chordata; Actinopteri; Cypriniformes; Xenocyprididae.
CCACCGCGGUUAAACGAGAGGCCCUAGUUGAUAAAACCACGGCGUAAAGGGUGGUUAAGGAGAGCAAGAUGAUUUUUAAAGCCAAAUGUCCCUUUGGCCGUCAUACGCUUCUAGGUGUCCGAAGCCCAAUCUAUAAUACGAAAGUAGCUUUAAUAAAGCCCACCUGACCCCACGAAAGCUGAGAAACAAACUGGGAUUAGAUACCCCACUAUGCUCAGCCAUAAACCUAGACAUCCAACUACAAUUAGAUGUCCGCCCGGGUACUACGAGCAUUAGCUUGAAACCCAAAGGACCUGACGGUGCCUCAGACCCCCCUAGAGGAGCCUGUUCUAGAACCGAUAAUCCCCGUUAAACCUCACCACUUCUAGCCAUCCCAGCCUAUAUACCGCCGUCGUCAGCUUACCCUGUGAAGGUAAUAAAAGUAAGCAAAAUGGGCACAACCCAAAACGUCAGGUCGAGGUGUAGCGUACGAAGUGGGAAGAAAUGGGCUACAUUUUCUAUCACAGAACACUACGAACAUGCAACAUGAAAUAGUGCUUGAAGGAGGAUUUAGUAGUAAAAAGGAAGCAGAGUGUCCUUUUGAACCCGGCUCUGAGACGCGUACACACCGCCCGUCACUCUCCCCUGUCGAAAUGCAACAAAGAUACUUAACACUAAAGCACUGACAAGGGGAGACAAGUCGUAACAUG